Varroa destructor (honeybee mite) is the source of this 4399-nucleotide RNA transcript. It is a transcript of the gene named ATPase sarcoplasmic/endoplasmic reticulum Ca2+ transporting SERCA, with no coding region annotated. The record is from RefSeq and is a predicted model, not a curated record. Lineage: Eukaryota; Metazoa; Arthropoda; Arachnida; Mesostigmata; Varroidae.
GCUGAAUCUCAGCCCACAGACCAGUAUAGCAGCAGGCAGCAUCGGCCACUUCAGUCCAACUCCACCGAGCCGUGAGUGAAGCGGCCGCGGUGAGACCGUUGGCCAGCGGCUGAGAGCCGUUUUCCGUCUUCGGGCCCGGACUUGCGCUUUGCACGCGCAAAAAGGAAACCAUGGAGCAGGGCCACGCAAAGACGUACCAGGAGGUGUUGCAGUACUUCCAAACCGAUCCCGAGCGUGGGCUUUCUGACAGCCAGGUGAAGAAGUAUCAAGAGAAAUACGGACCCAACGAAUUGCCCGCUGAGGAAGGCAAAGCUCUUUGGCAGCUUAUUCUCGAACAAUUCGACGAUUUGCUCGUCAAGAUCCUGCUUCUUGCCGCCAUCAUCUCGUUCGCGCUGGCGUUGUUCGAAGCUGAAGAGGAAGAUUCGAUUACGGCGUUUGUCGAACCCUUUGUCAUUCUUCUCAUUCUCAUUGCAAACGCCGUUGUCGGUGUCUGGCAAGAACGUAAUGCUGAAUCUGCUAUUGAAGCUCUAAAGGAAUAUGAGCCCGAAAUGGGUAAGGUCAUCCGCAGCAAUAAGCAUGGCGUGCAGAAAAUUCGCGCCAAAGAGAUCGUGCCCGGUGAUCUCGUUGAGGUGUCUGUCGGUGACAAGGUACCAGCUGAUAUCCGUCUCGUCAAGAUUUAUUCGACUACGCUUCGCGUUGAUCAGUCCAUCCUGACCGGUGAGUCGGUGUCCGUUAUUAAGCACACGGACGCUGUGCCCGACCCCCGCGCCGUCAACCAAGACAAGAAAAACAUCCUCUUUUCUGGAACGAAUAUUGCCGCCGGAAAAGCUCUAGGUGUUGUCAUUGGUACUGGUGUGGAGACCGCUAUUGGUAAGAUUCGUACUGAAAUGGCUGAGACUGAAGAAGUUAAAACUCCGCUGCAGCAGAAACUUGAUGAGUUCGGUGAGCAGUUGUCGAAAGUGAUCUCCAUCAUUUGCGUUGCUGUGUGGGCGAUAAACAUUGGGCACUUUAAUGACCCCGCUCACGGUGGUUCAUGGAUUAAGGGCGCUAUCUAUUAUUUCAAGAUUGCCGUUGCCCUCGCCGUCGCCGCCAUCCCCGAGGGUCUGCCUGCUGUCAUUACCACUUGUCUAGCUUUGGGAACUCGCCGUAUGGCCAAGAAGAAUGCCAUUGUGCGUUCCCUGCCCUCCGUAGAAACACUUGGUUGCACUUCUGUUAUCUGCUCCGACAAAACUGGCACGCUCACUACCAAUCAAAUGUCCGUGUCACGCUUCUUCAUUAUCGAUUACGCUGAGAACAACGACAUCAACUUCCAUGAGUUCGAAGUGACUGGCUCCACUUAUGAACCCAUUGGCGAAGUGUUCAAGAACGGCGCCCGUGUCGAUCCUACCGAUUAUGAAGCGCUUGUUGAGCUGUCUACUAUCUGCGUUAUGUGCAACGACUCGUCCAUCGAUUUCAACGAAUACAAGCAGGCCUUUGAGAAGGUCGGCGAGGCCACUGAAACCGCCCUGAUUGUCCUAGCUGAGAAAAUCAACCCGCUCAAAUUCGACAAGUCCGGCAAGUCCCGACGUGAUGCCGCACUUACUGUGACCCAUGGCAUCCAGUCGAUGUGGAAGAAAGAAUGUACCCUUGAAUUCUCUCGUGACCGUAAAUCUAUGUCAUCGUACUGCGUGCCCACAAAGCCCAACAAGCUUGGCCCUGGCCCCAAAAUGUUUGUCAAGGGUGCCCCGGAAGGCGUGCUCGACCGUUGCUCGCACGUGCGUAUUGGGGAUAAGAAGUUCCCCAUGACCACCGCCUUAAAAGACAAAAUCCUUGCUACUACUCGUGCAUAUGGUACUGGCCGUGACACCCUUCGUUGCCUGGCUCUUGCCACCCUUGACACGCCUCCGCGCACCGACGAGAUGGAGCUCGGUGACUCGACGCAAUUCAUCCGCUAUGAGGUUGGUCUAACAUUUGUCGGUGUGGUCGGAAUGCUUGACCCCCCCCGUAAGGAGGUGUUCGAUUCUAUCAUGCGCUGCCGCGCUGCUGGUAUCCGUGUCAUUGUCAUCACUGGUGACAACAAGGGAACUGCUGAAGCAAUCUGCCGUCGUAUUGGGGUUUUUACCGAGGAGGAAGACACGACCGGUAUGUCAUAUUCCGGCCGUGAAUUCGAUGACCUACCAAUUGAUGAGCAAAGACGUGCCACCCAGCGUUCUCGUCUCUUCUCACGCGUCGAGCCGGCCCACAAGUCUAAGAUCGUUGAGUUCCUUCAGGCCGAUGGUGAAAUCUCGGCCAUGACUGGUGAUGGUGUGAAUGAUGCCCCCGCCCUAAAGAAAGCUGAAAUUGGAAUUGCUAUGGGUUCUGGAACUGCUGUAGCCAAGUCCGCUGCUGAAAUGGUGCUGGCCGAUGAUAACUUCUCAUCAAUUGUUGCUGCCGUCGAGGAGGGUCGCGCAAUUUAUAACAACAUGAAACAGUUCAUCCGUUACCUGAUUUCGUCCAACAUUGGUGAGGUCGUAUCGAUUUUCUUGACGGCUGCACUGGGUCUGCCUGAGGCCCUUAUCCCUGUACAGCUUCUAUGGGUCAACCUGGUCACUGAUGGUCUUCCCGCUACUGCUCUCGGAUUCAAUCCGCCUGACCUCGACAUCAUGGAGCGCCCGCCUCGCAAGGCCGACGAAUCCCUCAUCUCUGGCUGGUUGUUCUUCCGUUAUAUGGCUAUUGGAGGAUACGUCGGUGCGGCGACGGUGGGCGCUUCUGCCUGGUGGUACAUGGUGGCUCCCGAUGGUCCGCACCUUUCGUUCUACCAGGUCACUCACCACUUGUCCUGCAUAGGCGACAAGACAAACUUUUCUGGAAUCGACUGCGCUGUAUUCCAUGAUCCUCACCCUAUGACAAUGGCGCUUUCGGUGCUUGUGCUCAUCGAGAUGCUGAAUGCACUCAACUCACUUUCGGAGAAUCAGUCGCUGCUCGUUAUGCCGCCCUGGACCAAUCUGUGGCUAGUCGGUGCUAUGACGCUGUCGAUGUCUCUCCACUUCCUUGUCCUUUACACCGAUAUCAUGAAUACUGUAUUUAGCGUGUGCCCGCUGAGCGCGAACGAAUGGAUCGCCGUGUGCAAGAUGUCGCUACCUGUCGUCAUUCUCGACGAGACAAUGAAGUAUAUUGCACGCACCUACAUCGAUGUAACACCGACCAAUCAUCAAUGCUCUUAGCGCAUCCGCACCUAGCUCAAUCGACCACAUUCGAGGUUUUUUGGUCUGAAAGUCUCAAGGGCCUAUUGCAACCCUGAGUGCGGUGCUGUGCUGUGCGUGGCCUGACUAUUAUCAACGACCCAUGGGUCCUUUCGACAAAUUGAUGAAAGUACACAUCUGCCCGCACCGCGUCGCUUCUAGCCAAAAUUACCAUCGGCGGUGGCGGAUUUGUCGAAGAUUGUCGCUCCAGGGGCAAUUGCCAAGUAAGGAAAAAACAACUUGGCAUAACUUACUUCAGAUAACAAUUCGCCGUCGUCAUCAGCAUCAUCAUUUAAUCCGGUCGACGCGUGCGUCGCUGUAAAGUACUCGCGACAGGACGUACGCGCGACAGGACACCCACCCACUUCGUCAAAGAAUAGCAAAAUCGUGUUCGUCAUCGAUUUGACUACGAGGUGGAGGAACACAUUACCAGCUACAAUUGUCCUGUUUGAGACGCGUCGUUUCAUCGUGGUUAUGAUUAUUAUAUAAGGAUAGUUUUUUUCUGUUUGCAAUGACGACGUCUACACUAUGUCAUAAAUAUGUUUUGUUUUUAUUUAUAGUGAUUAAUUAUGUUAUGGUAUGUUAGUACCGAAAUUUUAUAUAGUAGUUCUUUCCUUUGACACCUGAGUGAUGAAACUGAUGAAUCAAUAAAUGCAGAAAAUGUGCGGAAAAAUAUGAAGAUGGUCGAGAUUGCAUAAAGUGACUUUAACUAGCACCAGCCAAUAUCAAACGUUAAGAAUAAUAGCAGCAGCAAAUAAAUCUUUGGGGGUUUUUCUAUUGCACUCCCAUUUCCGUUCUAUCAUCGACGACGACUGACGACUACUAACGAUCGAGGCAGCGCCGUUGAUUAACUAAGGAAUCCUGAACUCCCCUGCUAGGGACGGCACCUUUCGGGAGCAAAAUAAUAUAGGACGACUGAAAAAAGCUAGAUCACUUCAUCAGGACGUCAAACACAACGGCACCACAAUUGAAACAAGAGCAAGUGGUGGAGCCACAAGCAAAAUGCAAGAUGUAUAGUAGAAACGAAUAAUAAAGUAAAAAUACUACUAGCCAUAUUGCCACCAACAGGAUUAGUAAGAUCAACAACAACUGUCAGAUCCACAUGGAAUUUUUUUUGACGUCAAUAAUAACGGCGAGAUUAAAAUACACAAACCGGAACAAUAACAAUAAUAAAGAAGCGGAACCUCUUGUACCUAAUA